This 496-nucleotide ribosomal RNA is filed under the name uncultured bacterium. Its description in RNAcentral is "partial 16S ribosomal RNA". It matches the Rfam family "Bacterial small subunit ribosomal RNA", at positions 29 to 507 of the family's 1533-position model. The record is from RNAcentral.
AUGAACGCUGGCGGCGUGCCUAAUACAUGCACGUCGAGCGAACAGAUGAGGAGCUUGCUCCUCUGACGUUAGCGGCGGACGGGUGAGUAACACGUGGAUAACCUACCUAUAAGACUGGGAUAACUCCGGGAAACCGGAGCUAAUACCGGAUAAUAUAUUGAACCGCAUGGUUCAAUAGUGAAAGACGGUUUUGCUGUCACUUAUAGAUGGAUCCGCGCCGCAUUAGCUAGUUGGUAAGGUAACGGCUUACCAAGGCAACGAUGCGUAGCCGACCUGAGAGGGUGAUCGGCCACACUGGAACUGAGACACGGUCCAGACUCCUACGGGAGGCAGCAGUAGGGAAUCUUCCGCAAUGGGCGAAAGCCUGACGGAGCAACGCCGCGUGAGUGAUGAAGGUCUUCGGAUCGUAAAACUCUGUUAUUAGGGAAGAACAAAUGUGUAAGUAACUAUGCACGUCUUGACGGUACCUAAUCAGAAAGCCACGGCUAACUACGUG